UUCGCCCUUCGGUUGAUCCUGCCGGACCCGACUGCUAUCAGAGUAGGACUAAGCCAUGCGAGUUAACGUAGCAAUACGUGGCAUACGGCUCAGUAACACGUAGUCAACAUGCCCAGGGGACGUGGAUAACCUCGGGAAACUGAGGAUAAACCGCGAUAGGUCAUGAUUUCUGGAAUGAUUCAUGGCCCAAAUCUAUAUGGCCCCUGGAUUGGACUGCGGCCGAUCAGGCUGUUGGUGAGGUAAUGGCCCACCAAACCUGUUACCGGUACGGGCUCUGAGAGGAGGAGCCCGGAGAUGGGCACUGAGACAAGGGCCCAGGCCCUAUGGGGCGCAGCAGGCGCGAAACCUCUGCAAUAGGCGAAAGCCUGACAGGGUUACUCUGAGUGGUUUCCGCUAAGGGAACCUUUUGGCACCUCUACAAAUGGUGCAGAAUAAGGGGUGGGCAAGUCUGGUGUCAGCCGCCGCGGUAAUACCAGCACCCCGAGUGGUCGGGACGAUUAUUGGGCCUAAAGCAUCCGUAGCCGGUCCUGCAAGUCUUCCGUUAAAUCCAGCUGCUCAACAGAUGGGCUGCGGGGGAUACUACAGGGCUAGGAGGCGGGAGAGGCAAGCGGUACUUUAUGGGUAGGGGUAAAAUCCGUUGAUCCAUAGAAGACCACCAGUGGCGAAGGCGGCUUGCCAGAACGCGCUCGACGGUGAGGGAUGAAAGCU
This 708-nucleotide ribosomal RNA is filed under the name uncultured archaeon. RNAcentral's name for it is "bacterial SSU rRNA". It matches the Rfam family "Archaeal small subunit ribosomal RNA", at positions 1 to 712 of the family's 1478-position model. The record is from RNAcentral.